Long non-coding RNA from Oncorhynchus mykiss (rainbow trout), 500 nucleotides. RefSeq lists it as uncharacterized. NCBI's taxonomy places the organism in Eukaryota, Metazoa, Chordata, Actinopteri, Salmoniformes, Salmonidae. The record is from RefSeq and is a predicted model, not a curated record.
UUUUGUUUUUGCAACUACAUGUCACUUUGUCCGUUAUCCUGUUUACACAGGAGCAGAAAGCUGGGCUGGGGUGAGUCCUUCCACCCCAGGGGAGUUGACAUUACAUGUAUCCCACAUGGCCCUGGGCAUUCUCCACUGAGAUACCACAGCAGAGAGGACACACAGAGAUAAAGAAGUCUGGAACAGAAUGAACCUCCCUAGGCAUCAUCCUACGCUAACAGGCAACACACCCGUUGUAAUUAGAAAAAGGCAGAAUUGAAUUUCUCAGCUAAAGACCCUAAAACCUGCGGGAUUGAUUGCAAAUGUUUGAAAUAAAUGACCGAUUUCAUCACAGUGGUGUGAUCUUAUGGGUCUGACAUACCUCCCUGAGGACAAGUCAUAUUUGAUGCUAACUGGACUUUUUUGGUAACAUGGCAGAAGGCUCAAUGAGGACCUUAGAAAACCUUGAGGAAAUUCCCUCAGUUUCAGUGACUCCAAUAAAAUGAAAUGACUACUUAUUA